ACAUCCAGAGAAUUUAGCAGAGAUGCUUUAGUGCCUUCGGGAACUCUGAGACAGGUGCUGCAUGGCUGUCGUCAGCUCGUGUUGUGAAAUGUUGGGUUAAGUCCCGNAACGAGCGCAACCCUUUAUCCUUUGUUGCCAGCACGUAAUGGUGGGAACUCAAAGGAGACUGCCGGUGAUAAACCGGAGGAAGGUGGGGAUGACGUCAAGUCAUCAUGGCCCUUACGAGUAGGGCUACACACGUGCUACAAUGGCGCAUACAAAGAGAAGCGACCUCGCGAGAGCAAGCGGACCUCAUAAAGUGCGUCGUAGUCCGGAUUGGAGUCUGCAACUCGACUCCAUGAAGUCGGAAUCGCUAGUAAUCGUAAAUCAGAAUGUUACGGUGAAUACGUUCCCGGGCCCUGUACACACCGCCCGUCACACCAUGGGAGUGGGUUGCAAAAGAAGUAGAUAGCUUAACCUUCGGGAGGGCGUUUACCACUUUGUGAUUCAUGACUGGGGUGAAGUCGUAACAAGGUAGGCGUAGUGCU
RNAcentral lists this ribosomal RNA (527 nucleotides) under uncultured bacterium. RNAcentral's name for it is "bacterial SSU rRNA". It matches the Rfam family "Bacterial small subunit ribosomal RNA", at positions 984 to 1509 of the family's 1533-position model. The record is from RNAcentral.